Molecule: long non-coding RNA, 3705 nt
Organism: Culex pipiens pallens (northern house mosquito)
Lineage: Eukaryota; Metazoa; Arthropoda; Insecta; Diptera; Culicidae
Exons: 3
Source: RefSeq, a predicted model, not a curated record
UUUUUAUUAGGUCGUAUAAACAUAUGAAACACAAAAGCUUAUAGGACCUUUAAAAAAAAAAAAAAAAAACUGGAAUUUUAUCGUUUUUGAAACGAUGCAAUUUUUUUUUCCAAACCUGAAAUUGCUACACACAAAAAAAAUUCACCCUAAUGACAAAAGUAACUUACUUUAGAAUUAAAAAGUUGUUAAAAUUUGCUACAUUAAAAGCUUUUUUCUUGUUUUGAAAAUGAAAACUUUUACUGCUACAGUUUUUGAAAAUCUCAUUGCUCACUGAUUUAAAAGUUUUCACUUUUAAUUCGACUGUAAAAUUUCUUUCAUUUUGUCGUUCUCGUGUAACCGUGUUCGCCUAAGUCCAAAAUGUAAACAAACGUUUUGGUGAUUCCGGUGAGUGGAGGUCCACAACGACUAGCAAAACCGAACGCUGCCAGGACUUGGACGCGAAAACCUUCGAAAGUGGAUGGUGCGGGCUCGGGUGCGGGUGCGGAACAAGGUUGGAAGAUUAGGGGAAAGUUGGUUUUCAAAAGGAUAAGGCUAUGGCUGCAGCUUCCUGCAGGACUUGCAGCUGUUUCACGACUUAAAUGGAAGCCGUUUAUGUGGUUGCCGAAGAUCGGAGGUCGGGAUGUGGAUUUGCACCGGUUGUAUUCGGUGGUGGUGGCCCGGGGUGGGUAGACGAGAUUGACGUUGAAGCAGAUUUACAUCCGCUUUUUGAACAAGUACGAAAAAGUUAAUUUUCACGGUGAGGAGAAGGAUCCGACGGAAGAGAGAAACGACGAGUAGCGGCAUAAUCGGAGGUGGUCAGCGCAGAUGUUGCACUCGGUGCCAGCGGUUUACGACCAUCAGCAGCAUUAUGUGCCAGAAGUGAUGACGGGACAGUGUGGGAUGUCCCGAGGGUCCGCAGUAGCCUGUCCCAUUUUGAGGUCAUGUCGAGGAAUUUCAGGUGCUCACUUCUUAAAUGAUAGAUUAUGAUGUUAGGAACAAUGUUUUCUUAGACAAGAAAAAAUAAUAAAAUACUUUCUCGCACCCCCUAGUCGAUUUACUGAAAAAAGUAACUUUUUUGAACAAAUUUUCUAAAAUCGCUUGGAAUCAAUACAAAAACUGUUUAGAUCAGGUGUGUAUUAUCUUCAAACGAUAGGUUUUUGUCUAUAGAUUAAGAUGCACUAUCAAUAUUGGACGAAAAUUUAAGUUUUUGGACUCUCCCAGGCGGAUUUGUGUCGAAAAAAUCGUAUUUUUUCGAAACUUUUUUCAGAAAUGUUCAUUUAAUUUAGGGUAGCCUAUUUUUCCCAGUGAAACCAAUACGUGCAGCUUGUAGGAAAUUUCAUGGCGAACAUUUUUCCCUCUGAGAAAAUGCAAUUUCGACACUCCAGAGCCGAGAUAUUUGAGUUUUAGUGAGGAAAAAAGUGCCAAUUUUCAAAAUUUCUCAGAAUUCAGAAGCAAGGCCUACUAAUUACACGAUGUAGCAAGCAUAUGUCUCAAAGGUCAGGGUAUGCUUUUUUAUAGUAAUUUUGGCCGCUGAAUCCGAAUCUGAAAUCAAAUUUCGUGCAAACAGUGAUGUUUUGGAGCUACACCCUUUUGGAAUGUUAUUUGCGUGUUUAAGAGGCAGUUUUUGUAAAUAUUGCUCGGUUUGUUCUAGAGGUCGUAUCGAGGUGCUCCGAUUUGGAUGAAACUGUCAGCGUUUGUUUGUCUAUACAUGAGAUGAACUCAUGCCAAAUAUGAGCCCUCUAAGACAAAGGGAAGUGGGGUAAAACGGGCAUUGAAGAUUGAGGUCCAAAAAACAUAAAAAAUCUUAAAAUUGCUCGCAUUUAAGUAAAACUUCAUCAAUUCCAACUAUCUUAGAUGCAUUUGAAUGGUCUUUUGAAGCACUUCAAAAUGAGCCAUAGACAUCCAAGAUUGGUUUAACUUUUUCUCAUAGCUUUUGCAAAUUACUGUUAAAAAUUGUUUUUUUUUUAAACCUCAAUAUAUUUUUGCAACAGCCUCCAACACCCAUACUCUUUUAGUUCAAGUUAGGGAAUUUCAUGGACUAUAAGCCUACGGUAAUAACUUUUUUGGCCAAUCGCAGUUUUUCUCAUAGUUUUUCGAUUUUUCUAUAACAAACAUUUUACAACGUUAGUUAUUGUCCUGUAGGCAUCCAUAGUGGCACUUUUUAGUCUCACUUUUGUCAUAUUCGAAAUCCUCGGAAAAUUCAAACUUCAAUGCCCGUUUUACCCCACUUCCCUUUGUCUUAGAGGGCUCAUAUUUGGCAUGAGUUCAUCUCAUGUAUAGACAAACAAACGCUGACAGUUUCAUCCAAAUCGGAGCACCUCGAUACGACCUCUAGAACAAACCGAGCAAUAUUUACAAAAACUGCCUCUUAAACACGCAAAUAACAUUCCAAAAGGGUGUAGCUCCAAAACAUCACUGUUUGCACGAAAUUUGAUUUCAGAUUCGGAUUCAGCGGCUAAAAUUACCAUAAAAAGCAUACCCUGACCUUUGAGACAUAUGCUUGCUACAUCGUGUAAUUAGUAGGCCUUGCUUCUGAAUUCUGAGAAAUUUUGAAAAUUGGCACUUUUUUCCUCACUAAAACUCAAAUAUCUCGGCUCUGGAGUGUCGAAAUUGCAUUUUCUCAGAGGGAAAAAUGUUCGCCAUGAAAUUUCCUACAAGCUGCACGUAUUGGUUUUACUGGGAAAAAUAGGCUACCCUAAAUUAAAUGAACAUUUCUGAAAAAAGUUUCGAAAAAAUACGAUUUUUUCGACACAAAUCCGCCUGGAAGAGUCCAAAAACUUAAAUUUUCGUCCAAUAUUGAUAGUGCAUCUUAAUCUAUAGACAAAAACCUAUCGUUUGAAGAUAAUACACACCUGAUCUAAACAGUUUUUGUAUUGAUUCCAAGCGAUUUUAGAAAAUUUGUUCAAAAAAGUUACUUUUUUCAGUAAAUCGACUAGGGGGUGCGAGAAAGUAUUUUAUUAUUUUUUCUUGUCUAAGAAAACAUUGUUCCUAAAAUCAUAAUCUAUCAUUUAAGAAGUGAGCACCUGAAAUUCCUCGACAUGACCUCAAAAUGGGACAGGCUAGUCCGCAGUCCAUUUCUCGUUGCGGGACGAGUAUUACCUAAACAUCCGGAAGAACAGUUUGCACUAGUUCUGGAAGAACCGUCUGUACGAAAGCCGCAGGUCCUGGAGCUGUCGUACUCAGAUUAUUUCCAGAGGUUGGAGCGAGAUCCGACGAACCUGACCAAAAACAUCUACCUGGAAUACCGAAGAAGUUACAGCUUUCGGCCGGAUGAACUUUGACGGCGAGUUGGCAAUAUCUGUAUCAUUCUCGAACUAGGACGAAGUGAUCGUGAACUAUCCGUUCAUGCGCUUCACUUCCUAGCCGGAAAACGUCGACUUCCCUUCCCAAAUCAACAACCAAUGGCCAACUCCUCCAAGCCUGUCCUGAUGAUGGCCGGCAACGAGACCACCCUGUUCUCUACAUCGCUGUCGCGCUCCAAAAUAAAGGCCGCGAUGUUGCUCCUCAACGAAACAUCCAUUCGUAACCUGCACAGCCUGGGGCCUUCGAACGUGACCGGUGGCGUACCGUAAGAAUCGGUAUAGCUUGGACGCGGAAGUUGGCCAACCAUAAGCAGAUCCAUUAAAUACAAAAAAAUAAUCGAAAACAUACUGUUUUAAUAUUAAAAUAUUGAAAUAAAAUCCAUCACAUGUUUCGAAAAUCAUCACUGUAAUGUUAAAUGUUAUU